CCUACGGGAGGCAGCAGUGAGGAAUAUUGGUCAAUGGGCGCGAGCCUGAACCAGCCAAGUCGCGUGAGGGAAGACGGCCCUACGGGUUGUAAAACUCUUUUGCCGGGGAGCAACGGGCGCCACGUGUGGCGCCACUGAGAGUACCCGGAGAAAAAGCAUCGGCUAACUCCGUGCCAGAAGCCGCGGUAAUACGGAGGAUGCGAGCGGUAUCCGGAUUUAUUGGGUUUAAAGGGUGCGUAGGCGGAGCGUUAAGUCAGGGGUCAAAUUGAGGGGCUCAACCCCUUCCCGCCAUUGAAACUGGCGCUCUUGAGUGGAAGAGAAGUAUGCGGAAUGCGUGGUGUAGCGGUGAAAUGCAUAGAUAUCACGCAGAACCCCGAUUGCGAAGGCAGCAUGCCGGCUUCCUACUGACGCUGAAGCACGAAAGCGUGGGGAUCGAACAGGAUUAGAUACCCCUGUAGUC
Molecule: ribosomal RNA, 460 nt
Filed under: uncultured bacterium
Lineage: Bacteria
Description: partial 16S ribosomal RNA
Rfam family: Bacterial small subunit ribosomal RNA
Source: RNAcentral